Molecule: ribosomal RNA, 481 nt
Filed under: uncultured bacterium
Lineage: Bacteria
Description: bacterial SSU rRNA
Rfam family: Bacterial small subunit ribosomal RNA
Source: RNAcentral
CUACGUGCCAGCAGCCGCGGUAAUACGGAAGGUCCAGGCGUUAUCCGGAUUUAUUGGGUUUAAAGGGAGCGUAGGCUGGAGAUUAAGUGUGUUGUGAAAUGUAGACGCUCAACGUCUGAAUUGCAGCGCAUACUGGUUUCCUUGAGUACGCACAACGUUGGCGGAAUUYGUCGUGUAGCGGUGAAAUGCUUAGAUAUGACGAAGAACUCCGAUUGCGAAGGCAGCUGACGGGAGCGCAACUGACGCUUAAGCUCGAAGGUGCGGGUAUCAAACAGGAUUAGAUACCCUGGUAGUCCGCACAGUAAACGAUGGAUGCCCGCUGUUGGUACCUGGUAUCAGCGGCUAAGCGAAAGCAUUAAGCAUCCCACCUGGGGAGUACGCCGGCAACGGUGAAACUCAAAGGAAUUGACGGGGGCCCGCACAAGCGGAGGAACAUGUGGUUUAAUUCGAUGAUACGCGAGGAACCUUACCCGGGCUUGAA